CCUACGGGAGGCAGCAGUAGGGAAUUUUGCGCAAUGGGGGAAACUCUGACGCAGCAACGCCGCGUGAUCGAUGAAGCCCUUCGGGGUGUAAAGAUCUGUCAGUGGGGACGAAACCUGACGGUACCCACAGAGGAAGCACCUGCUAACUCCGUGCCAGCAGCCGCGGUAAUACGGGGGGUGCAAGCGUUGUCCGGAAUCAUUGGGCGUAAAGAGUUCGUAGGUGGCACGUUAAGUCUGGUGUUAAAGGCGGAAGCUCAACUUCCGUAGGGCACUGGAUACUGGCGAGCUUGAGUGCGGUAGAGGUAAAGGGAAUUCCUGGUGUAGCGGUGAAAUGCGUAGAUAUCAGGAGGAACAUCGGUGGCGUAAGCGCUUCACUGGGCCGUAAUUGACACUGAGGAACGAAAGCCGGGGUAGCAAAUGGGAUUAGAUACCCGGGUAGUC
This 441-nucleotide ribosomal RNA is filed under the name uncultured bacterium. RNAcentral's name for it is "partial 16S ribosomal RNA". It matches the Rfam family "Bacterial small subunit ribosomal RNA", at positions 338 to 795 of the family's 1533-position model. The record is from RNAcentral.